CUGAGGGACCGCGUUUCUCCCCCCGCCGCUCUCGGCCGCCUCAGCCUUGCGCGGCGCGGACAGAGGCCGUGAGGGCGCAGCGGCCGGGCGGGAAGGCGGGCAGCCCCGCAGCCCCCCGCUCGAGGACUGAGGGUGCCGGACGGUUCUGCCCCGGCCCCAGUGCUGCCCUCGCCACCCUCUGCGGGGUGAAAACCCCCAGCUCCCGUCUGGAACCCGCAGAGGCCCCUUCUCGACUCUCCGUGCAGGAUUAUGGCGAGGGCGCCGCUACAGCCACGGCCACCCCGGAGCAGCCCGGUGCCGGGUGAGCUGACGGGACCGGCCGGGCCUGCCUGCCGGGCCGCGGUGCAGACAGCACAGGCCUCCCUCACCUCGCUGAGCUCGUCUGUCUCAAGCCGGCCUAGGAUGAUCUCAUUAUAUGUUGUAGUUCAUCCCGUGGUGGUGCAGUGACAAUGUAAAUGCGUUAGGAAUUUGCCCAAUAUCGGGUUUCUUCACCCCUCCACUGAAGUUGGGCCUUACUGAAGACAGAGAGUGAAAAGAUGAGUAUUGCAACUCUUCUGACAUGGUAUAGUUGCUGGCAAAACAGAUCCCAACUUGUUUGCGGCUCAUCUAAAGUCUUAAGAGGUUUCUGGCAAAAGGACUUUGACAGAAGAUCACAGAAUCACAGACUGGUUGGGCUUGGGAGGGACCUCUGGAGAUCAUCCAGUCCAAACCACCUGCUAAAGCAGGUUCACCAGAGCAGAUCACACAGGAAUGUGUCCAGGCCCACUGGAGAGCGCGUAUAACAGAGAAAGGGGGACCAAGCUGAAUCUCUCCAGCAGCUUGGGCAGGCACUGUCACAGCUGCAUGAAGUGUUGACCUCAGCUGAAUGUCAGAGCUCCAUACUUAGUCCUGUGCAAGCAAGCAGCCUAUCUCCAGUUAGUAUAUCCACUGCAAACCCUUACAUUUUAAUUAUUCUUAUGUACGUUCCUUCAGAAGAAUGCAGAACAGCAAGGAAUAAUGGAUUCAAUAGGUUUCCAGAAGUCUGCUAAUUAUUUUCAAAGAAAUUUUGUGUGAAUCCUUCCUGCUCAUGAUGGACAAAGGAAAGGAAACCACAGGGCUGCAGAGGUGACCAGAGGAGCUUGCUGAACAACUGAAUAUGAACCAUCGGCAGAUCAGAGAUGAUGACACCUGUCAUGGUGCGUCUAGUCCAAACGCUCCCCAACCGGACACUUGCCAAGGGAGGUGCAGAAUGGGCCUCAGCUUUGAAUCCCUGUGGAAAACCAGAUGAAGUAUGUGGAGGCUCUUUUGGGACAUGGUGUAACCAGCAGGCCUGGAGAACAGAAUCGGUGCUCACUCAAACGCGCAGUAAGCCGUGCCUCAGAACAGCAGCCGCCCGCUCCGGAAUCCAGGCUACUAUUUGCAGCCACUGAGGGGACCACGGGGGAACAUGUCAGUUCUGGUGGCACCGUCACCGCGGCCCCAUCCCGAGCACCGUGGGCCUCUGUGCUGUUUCAGGGCUGCUAAAGCCAGGACAACAUGUUCAGCCGCAUCAUUCCGUUGUGAGUCUGGCACUGGCUGUAGCUGUACAUUUGCCUUGUUUCUCAAGAGAAGGAACCCUGAGUAGUUCUCUGGCAAUGAAGGAACUUCUAAAGCACGAGAAACCAGCAGCUACUGGAGAGUAAUGACAUCUGUGCUCACAAGAUUGUGUUUAUCUCUUCAAGAUUGCAUUAGCAUUCUGUUCUACAUAUUUUGAUGGGUUUCAGCGUGUGAGGACUUUUCUCCUGACAGUGACAGAAAGUGCUUUGUCAGAAUAAAACAGAAUUAAAGGAGAGAGAGGAAGCUUUGUCAGCUUCACCUAUACUUAGUAAGAGGCUUCUAAAGCUUGUUGCAUAGGAAGAAAUUAAGAAAAAAAACCCCACAAAUGUAAGGAUAGGAUGAAAUCUAAGUAUGCCAAACAGUAAAGUGCAGGGAAUAUGGGUUCUGCAGUAAUUUUUUCAAAGCAUUUUGAAGACAUUCUGAGGCAGGCUGUCUUUAAUACCAUCUCUUUGCUAAUGCCUUUGCCAUUAUAGCAUCAAGCUGAAGACACAAGCUGUCAUGCAGGGGCUCAUACAGGAACAGUUACCCAGGAGCUGCAAGACACCAUUUCCUCGCUUCGCUCUUCAGUAGGUACCAAAGAUUGACGGCCUAUUGUAGUGCACAUUGUCAUUGAACUCAAUCGCUGCUUUAGCAUUGAUUUCAGUGGAGCAAAACGAGGCCCUCGCAUCUCUAACUGCGGCAAUAAUGUGCGGAAACUUAAUAGAUACAGCUGAGGGCAAAGUUAAUUCCAGUAUUUGGAGAGAGGGAGAGAGUGGUACAUUUGCAGUUUUGAGGAACAAAAAUAUUUUGAGUUAGUCACAGGACAUUCGAUGUCUUAAUAGAAAAAUUUAAGGCUCUAGCAUAAGUAAAGUCUAAUUUGUUCAGAAAUUUGUAUACAAGACAGAAGUAAAUAGGCUGAGCUAACAAUCCUGUAGAAAUCUUUGCAUUCUCACUGAUUUCAAAGGAUUGGUCAUGUACACUUAUGUGUUUGUGAUAAACCACUAUUGAAUGCUGAACUGCAAAAAUAAGGUAGAAGAUCACGUAAUUACUGACAGAGGGCUAAUUUUAUAUCCAAAGCCUGAACACAGAUUUUCUGUGAGAGCAUCAGCUACCAUCAGGUUUAGUAAGGAACGCAUAGAUAAGUUUGGUGUUUUGAGCAAACCCUUAGCAGCAUUCCAUGACGGAUUUCUGCUUUUGUCAUCCAUUUUCAAGCACAAGGUAUAAGAAAUACUUCUGAAUUCAAAUGCACCCUUAUCAGGAGAGUUGUUUGUUCUAUUCAGCGUGCAAUUCUUGAGUGACGGGAAAACUCAUGCCACAGUUUUGCAGAGUUACAAACACAAAGACUUUUACAACACAGUGACUUUUUGCACAGAUUUAAUGUUUAAUUACUUUUAUGAAUUUGCAUAUAUUCAAAAUUUCUGCAAUCUUGAAAUAGCUCCAAGCUAUUUCUCCAAUUUUUCAAUGCCAACUCUACAUUUAGUUAGUCGUGCUUAACUGAGAAUCUUGUGGUGGUACUUCGGUGCUUUAAAUGAUCACACAGAUUGUCAGCAUGCUGCACCUGCUUUGACAUUCACUUUCUAUAAAUGUUUUUGCUAAUAAGCAGAGUUCUUGGUCUUGCAUCAGUAUUCAGAGGGUGUCCAUCUUCCCUAUAGCCCGUGAUACAGAACUCCAGCUGAAUAGUCACAGAGUGAUUUAAAAAUAAUUACUUAAGCAGUCUGUUGUAUGAUGGAGCACAAAGUAGCAUCAGAUCAAGAACCGAAUGUGCAGUCCCCCAGUGUCCUGAAAGUUCUUACUAACAGCAAUUAGAAGCUCUGUCACAAAUUUGCAAAUUGCAAAUGUGAUUAACAUUAAUUGGAAAUGGUUUUAUUAAACUGAAGAUCUGAUUAGCAAGUGAACUGCACAAUGCAGAUUUCCCAGCAGGAGUUACAAGACAGCCUAUAAUUGAAUGCAGAUAUGAGUUAAUUCAUUUCUCUGUGUAAAUGAUGUGGUAUAGAAAGCUUUGUAUAAACCAGAGAUGUCCAUCUUCAGAAUAAUUCCUGGAGGAUUUGUUGCUGCUGGCCGGUAGGCUCUGUUGGAAAUGACUUACAGAACAUUAGGAAAGAGGGAAGGUGGCAGCUCCUUCCCACUGGUGGGCUUUAGGAACUUCUAGGGCAGGUGUAGCAAUAGACAUUGCUGCCUCCCGCUCUCUGCAGUGAUAUUACAAAACAUCCGCAGUUUGUUUCCUGUAUCUUUCAUUCCAAAUUGCCUAGUAGAGUUAAAGUAAGACUGUCCCUGUUUGAAUGCUGUAAGAAAUUGUGAGAAUAUGUCCAUGAAUUCCUUGCUUGUCUGCUUUUAUGCUGUUUGUACAUUCAGAACUAUCCAGCUACGGUGUGAUAAACUAAGACAGAAUAUCUUCGCCGAUGCCUGGUACAGUCAUUGCUUUUAUCUGUUCAGCCUGUAUAUUAGGCUUCUCCAAGGAACAUGACACGCACGCAACUGAUGACAUACCUGGAGUCAAGCUCUCACAUAAGAAUCCACAUGGAUCUGAAACCACCACACUCAGUUUUCUGGAAGCAGAGAUUGUCAGCACGAGUCAUGGGAAGACCAUGGUUUAGCUUAAGGAAGAGUCCAUGUAUCAAAACCAGUAACACAAGAGACCUCCUUCAUUUGUAAUUUCUAGGGAUGUUAUUCUUCAACUCUCUAGAGCCAUAUUUUACAAAGUUGAAGGAGAGCUCUACAGAGAAGAGAUUUUCCCAUAAAAGUGACAGAUCUAACUUUUCCUGUAGCAUUUGGCCAGUUUUUGGUGGAGUUCGGGUAACACAACAUACCAGUCUCUGUGUGUGUAGGAGUGUGGGGAAACAAAGUCCUGUUUACCAUUUUGUAUGGAGAGUUAAAUGUUUCUGCAAUCCAUCCACAAAAUAAAAAGUAUGUUCCUCCUGAUACUUCCAGGCUUGUUAUCAGCAGUGCAGUGACAUAGGCUUUGACACACAUUAAACUUUUCUCAGAGGGAACCAAGUUUUUGUUUUGUGUUUGGGUGAAAGUAGUUCAUUUCUUCAAGAGGAAUGAAUGGAGUAUUGUACAUUUGGUCCGCGAUGUCUAAUCCUCACUUGUGAGUCUUCUGUCAUUAUAACCGCCUCUUUUGUCAGGGAAACAAUGUUCCUUUUCCGCUGCCUUCUGAAUUCCCUGGCCAGUGCUGCAGUUCGGAGUCCUUCUGCCGCUGCCGGGUCCUCUCUGCCGCCCCUCCGCAUUUUCCAUGGGAAAGGAAUCUCGUUCCCCAUUCAGCAAGCUGGGAAUGCAGCUCAUUAGGAUCUUGGCAGCAUGAACCAAGAUUGUCAUUUAACUGCAGAUUUCAUUACGGCCCAACAGAAGACGAUUUGUCAGAUAGGGAACAAAAUGACUACACUAUAUAUUUAGACACCUUCCCCACCCCGAAUUUUAGUUUGCUUUUUGAUAUAAAGAGUUUAAAGCCCCCACUUAAGUGUUUUGAAAGUGAUCCCAUUUCUGCUAGAUCUCCAGCUUUCCAUGCUGUCUUUCUGCCGGAGGAUGUAAAGGUGCUUAAGGAAAUUAAGUGCAAUGGAUACGAUGCGAGAGCUAAUAAAUGGCAACUCUCUCGGUAGGGGCAAUAACUUACAUUUAUGUAUUUCCCUUCAAUUCUCAAAGUGUCUCCAGGUGCUUUGGAGACCACAUAAGGGAUUCCACCCUUCCUGCCAAUUCUGGGAAGAAAUUCUUUGAGGCUUAAGGAUUGUGCACAAUUCUGUCUAAUACCGGAGAAAGACACAAUUUGCUCGCUUCCCUGUCUAGUAUGUUCCUGUUGAAUUCCUUUGAUCUUGAAUCAUUCCAUGUUACUGUUUCAGGCCUUUUUCACACCUCUAUCUGAUGUCAGACCCGCUGUCACGCCCACUCCUUUAGCCAGAGCUGCUACUGUGCUGCUUCUUUCUUGCCACCUUUUGUAAAGCACAAAUCCUCUGUAUAAAUUCUGCAGUUGGGGAAAAUGCUUUGUUAUGUCCUAUGUAGUGCCUUUUUGGAUGAAUGCUGUCUAAGAAGACUGCACUUGGGUAAAUUAUUUGUUAGUGGCAGAAGAUGCUUAUGAUACAAGCGUGAAGUUCCUCCCUUAAUCAGUGCUGAGCUCCAGGACGCUCUGGCCCUCGUUCUCUAACCAUUCCCAUGGUGGGGACAGGCAGCUGCUGUCCUGCAGCAGCCCUGCAAGGCCGAGUACACAAGGAAAGGAAAAAGAGGCAUGUCUUUUUUGGUGUUCCUUUGGUCUUGAAAGCUUUGGGCACAACUUGGGUAGCAUCUAAACAUGGUUUUGUACUUCCAGAGAGAGACCCACCUUUGUAAACAAUUCAGUUGGACACAUGUAGGAGCCCUACAUAAGCACCAAAAGUAGAUUUGGGCUCCACGUUGAUAAGGCAAACAUGCAAACAGGAACAAUUUAAAAGACUAAGGGAUUCUGAGUUUCUUACAAUAGGCAAUACACCACAUACCUAAAGCUUUUUUAACUUCAAUAGAAAUCUAGAUAUGCCUUGUAAUACUCUUGAGGGAAGACCGUGAAUAAUACCGUUGCUGUCAACAAAGAAGAGGAAUCUGGGAACUGUGUGGAAGAAUCUAAAGCCAAGUUCUUUGGUGCUGAUGUAAGUCUGCAGUAAUACCAUUAGCACUGGCAGAGUGUGAUUUGCAGUGACGUGGUCAGGCAGAAUUUGUCUCUUCAUUCCCAGGGUGAAUGAAUGAGGAGAGAAAAGAUUCCUGAUGCAAUACGCUAUGGCCAUUGCGAUGGCAAUGGGAUAAGGAGGGACGUACUCGCUACCCCUUUUAGCCUCUGUUGGGUCCAGUACAUUGAGUUUGAAAAUAAUAAAAAGAAAAAAAAAUCAGAACCAAAGAAGAACUAAGAAACAUGGUGAAAACUAACAAGAUUAAGGGAUAUUACUGAGAAAAAGGCAAGAAACUGUGGAGAAAAUUGCAGAAAGCCUUUGGGACUUUGUUUCUUCAGAAGAAAGAACCUGUGUGGUUUGGAGGUCUAAGGCUUUGCAUUCCUGUGUGGCAGAAGCAGGAUAGAUGGGAAGCUUUAUCCCAGCACUUCCAGCUGCAGAUAUCUCUUUGUGAUCUAUAUGUAGAUUUUAAUUUCAUAUUAACUGUGUCCAUUUCUGUGAUACUUCCAUCACAUCCUAUUUUAACAGGGAUUCUUCUGCCAGCUGUGUUGUACGUAGGUCUCUGUACUCGUGCCAUCCAUACUGACACGUGCAAAGUUCUGCUUUCACAAUAAAUGGAAAUACUGAAUGUCUGUAAGUCAAGUGACACAGCCUUACUAGAUGUGUAUAAGCCAGUGUUGUCAGAAAGUCUGGAAGAUCUUUUAACGAAAAAGCACCAUUAACCAUUUUAGUCAUUACCAGGAACAAGCUCUUCACACUUGUUCAGCUUGCAAUUUUGGGGCAUUUACGGUACAAGAAGGUACACACACAUCAGUAGCUUAGAAUAAACAGUAUUUUCACAUGGCCCAAAUCAUGCUGAAAUUCAUUUUUGGAAAGAGUCUCAAGCAGCUUUUAAUGUUUAACCAUGAGUAUCUGUAAUAGCUGAGCUGCAAGGAGACAAUCCGUAGUAAUGAAAUUAGUAUCCUUGAAGUGAUUUCCAUUGAUUCGCUAGAUUGGAUAUGACUCAUUUUAUUUUUAUUUAAACUGCAAUUUAAGCUCCGUAACUUACUUGUGUAAGCAAAGCCUCAGAAUGAAGUGUACACCAGAAUGCAGAAUGUAACUCAGCCCAGCACAUUUGCAUCACUUGUUUUCAAAUGGCAUCUUUUUUUCUAUCAGGAUGAGGAGGUGCUAGAGAAGUGCCAAGUCAAACACACAGCCUGUGGUGAAGUCACCCCUGUGGUCUGGCAGCAAUGAGACUGGCAGUCUGAUUCUAGCAGGUGAAUCAACGCAAAGUCAUCUGUUUUCUUUUGUUCCU
Columba livia (rock pigeon) is the source of this 7473-nucleotide long non-coding RNA. RefSeq lists it as uncharacterized. NCBI's taxonomy places the organism in Eukaryota, Metazoa, Chordata, Aves, Columbiformes, Columbidae. The record is from RefSeq and is a predicted model, not a curated record. The transcript has 6 exons.